UGGGGAAUAUUGGACAAUGGGCGAAAGCCUGAUCCAGCAAUGCCGCGUGAGUGAUGAAGGCCUUAGGGUUGUAAAGCUCUUUUACCCGAGAUGAUAAUGACAGUAUCGGGAGAAUAAGCUCCGGCUAACUCCGUGCCAGCAGCCGCGGUAAUACGGAGGGAGCUAGCGUUGUUCGGAAUUACUGGGCGUAAAGCGCACGUAGGCGGCGAUCUAAGUCAGAGGUGAAAGCCCGGGGCUCAACCCCGGAAUUGCCUUUGAGACUGGAUUGCUUGAAUCCGGGAGAGGUGAGUGGAAUUCCGAGUGUAGAGGUGAAAUUCGUAGAUAUUCGGAAGAACACCAGUGGCGAAGGCGGCUCACUGGACCGGCAUUGACGCUGAGGUGCGAAAGCGUGGGGAGCAAAACAGGAUUAGAUACCCCUGGUAGUCCACGCCGUAAACGAUGAUAACUAGCUGUCUGGGUGCAUGGCACUUAGGUGGCGCAGCUAACGCAUUAAGUUAUCCGCCUGGGGAGUACGGUCGCAAGAUUA
Molecule: ribosomal RNA, 526 nt
Filed under: uncultured bacterium
Lineage: Bacteria
Description: bacterial SSU rRNA
Rfam family: Bacterial small subunit ribosomal RNA
Source: RNAcentral